UGAAAAAUCUUAUAACUCUUGGAAGUAUCCCGAGUACUGCGGAGCACGUGGAAUUCUGCAGGAAUCUGCCGGAACCAUCCGGUAAGGCUAAAUACUCUUAAGUGACCGAUAGUGUACAAGUACUGUGAAGGAAAGGUGAAAAGUACUCCUAACAGGAGGGUGAAAUAGAACCUGAAACUGUAUGCCUACAAACGGUAGUAGUCUGAAAUGGAGCUUGCUCCAAAUUGGAUGACUGCGUGCCUUUUGCUUAAUGAUCCUACGAGUUACUCGUAUGUAGCCGGAUAAGGUUUUAAGAACCGGAUCCCCAGCGAAAGCAAGUCCGAAUAGGGCGACAAAUGGUUACAUGCGGUAGACGCGAAACUGUGUGAUCUACCCUUGGUCAGAAUGAAGUAUCGGUAAAA
Molecule: ribosomal RNA, 401 nt
Filed under: uncultured bacterium
Lineage: Bacteria
Description: bacterial LSU rRNA
Rfam family: Bacterial large subunit ribosomal RNA
Source: RNAcentral